CCCUCGUGAUGACACCUGCACACGUCUUACGCCGUGCGCCGAUGCCAGACCUGAAAAGGUGAACCCACUGGCGUCGCCGCGGCAGCAAGGGGACGGCGUGUUGGGGUUACCAACAGUCUGAAUGGGA
RNAcentral lists this small nucleolar RNA (127 nucleotides) under Kryptolebias marmoratus (mangrove rivulus). RNAcentral's name for it is "Small nucleolar RNA SNORD22 (ENSKMAG00000007079.1)". It matches the Rfam family "Small nucleolar RNA SNORD22". From Rfam's summary of the family: U22 is a member of the C/D class of snoRNA which contain the C (UGAUGA) and D (CUGA) box motifs. U22 is encoded within the U22 snoRNA host gene (UHG) in mammals and has also been identified in Xenopus. The record is from Rfam by way of RNAcentral. Lineage: Eukaryota; Metazoa; Chordata; Actinopteri; Cyprinodontiformes; Rivulidae.